RNAcentral lists this ribosomal RNA (774 nucleotides) under uncultured Neocallimastigales. RNAcentral's name for it is "partial large subunit ribosomal RNA". It matches the Rfam family "Eukaryotic large subunit ribosomal RNA", at positions 23 to 648 of the family's 3401-position model. The record is from RNAcentral. Lineage: Eukaryota; Fungi; Neocallimastigomycota; Neocallimastigomycetes; Neocallimastigales.
AGAGAUGUGUGAUGACGCAUAUCAAUAAGCGGAGGAAAAGAAACUAACAAGGAUUCCCUUAGUAACGGCGAGUGAAGCGGGAAGAGCUCAAAUUUGAAAUCUUCAAGGUUCUACCUUGACGAAUUGUAGUUUAUAGAAGUGUUUUCUGUUAGUGGAGUGGCAAAAGUUCUUUGGAAUAGGACAUCAUAGAGGGUGAGAAUCCCGUAUUUGGUCAUUCCUCCUAGCGUUGUGGUACACUUUCAACGAGUCGGAUUGUUUGGGAAUGCAGUCCAAAAUGGGUGGUAAAUUUCAUCUAAAGCUAAAUAUUGGCGAGAGACCGAUAGCGAACAAGUACCGUGAGGGAAAGAUGAAAAGAACUUUGAAAAGAGAGUUAAACAGUACGUGAAAUUGUCAAAAGGGAAGCGUUUGACACCAGUGUUGUUUUUCCGAAAAUCAAUUACGAAUGUUUUGUUUUUGAGGAGUUAUGACUUCAUCGGCUUGCUCCUUUCUUUAUGAAACUUUCUUAAUGCACUUUUCGGUUAACAAGUCAACAUCAAUUUCUUUUGUUGUAAAAGGGUAUGAGGAAGGUGGCUUUCUUUUCGGAGAAAGUGUUUAUAGCCUUGUACCUCUGCAAUCGGAGAGAUUGAGGUCUGCAGCGUAGAUCCUUCGGGGUUAGAUACAUUUGUGCUAAGUUAUAGCUUUUCAUAGACAACUUGUUGACUAUGUUAAGUCUUGUAGCUUACUCGCUUAUGCUAUUUUACCUACGCUUAGGAUGUUGACGAUCAGCUGAGCGCG